Molecule: transfer RNA, 76 nt
Filed under: Anaerolineaceae bacterium 4572_78
Lineage: Bacteria; Bacillati; Chloroflexota; Anaerolineae; Anaerolineales; Anaerolineaceae
Also listed under: 1 other name
Description: tRNA-Pro
Rfam family: tRNA
About the family: Transfer RNA (tRNA) molecules are approximately 80 nucleotides in length. Their secondary structure includes four short double-helical elements and three loops (D, anti-codon, and T loops). Further hydrogen bonds mediate the characteristic L-shaped molecular structure. tRNAs have two regions of fundamental functional importance: the anti-codon, which is responsible for specific mRNA codon recognition, and the 3' end, to which the tRNAs corresponding amino acid is attached (by aminoacyl-tRNA synthetases). tRNAs cope with the degeneracy of the genetic code in two manners: having more than one tRNA (with a specific anti-codon) for a particular amino acid; and 'wobble' base-pairing, i.e. permitting non-standard base-pairing at the 3rd anti-codon position.
Source: RNAcentral
CGGGGUGUAGCUCAGUCCGGUUUAGAGUGCUGCGUUUGGGACGCAGAGGUCACUGGUUCAAAUCCAGUCACCCCGA